This 446-nucleotide ribosomal RNA is filed under the name uncultured bacterium. RNAcentral's name for it is "bacterial SSU rRNA". It matches the Rfam family "Bacterial small subunit ribosomal RNA", at positions 331 to 793 of the family's 1533-position model. The record is from RNAcentral.
CCAGACUCCUACGGGAGGCAGCAGUGGGGGAUAUUGCACAAUGGGGGAAACCCUGAUGCAGCGACGCCGCGUGUGGGAAGACGGUCUUCUGGAUUGUAAACCACUGUCCCCAGGGACGAAAAUGACGGUACCUGGGGAGGAAGCUCCGGCUAACUACGUGCCAGCAGCCGCGGUAAUACGUAGGGGGCAAGCGUUGUCCGGAUUUACUGGGUGUAAAGGGAGCGUAGGCGGUGCAGCAAGUCAGAAGUGAAAGCCCGGGGCUCAACUCCGGGACUGCUUUUGAAACUGUUGAACUAGAUUGCAGGAGAGGUAAGUGGAAUUCCUAGUGUAGCGGUGAAAUGCGUAGAUAUUAGGAGGAACACCAGUGGCGAAGGCGGCUUACUGGACUGCAACUGACGUUGAGGCCCGAAAGCGUAGGGAGCAAACAGGAUUAGAUACCCCGGUAC